This 73-nucleotide transfer RNA is filed under the name Saccoglossus kowalevskii. Its description in RNAcentral is "tRNA-Arg". It matches the Rfam family "tRNA". From Rfam's summary of the family: Transfer RNA (tRNA) molecules are approximately 80 nucleotides in length. Their secondary structure includes four short double-helical elements and three loops (D, anti-codon, and T loops). Lineage: Eukaryota; Metazoa; Hemichordata; Enteropneusta; Harrimaniidae. The record is from RNAcentral.
GACUCCGUGGCCUAAAGGAUACGGCGUCUGACUUCGAAUCAGAAGAUUGCGGGUUCGAGUCCUGUCGGGGUCG